GGGGCUGAUCGGUUUCGACUUGGGACGUUAGUUCCAGGGGAAGCGGGUCGAGGAGCCAGCGACAUCUCGUAAACGACCGCUGGAAACCAUAAGUGCCAACGCUAAGCGCACUGACUUCGCUCUCGCCGCCUGAUUGCGGUGAUCGAAGGGUCUGACCGGG
RNAcentral lists this transfer-messenger RNA (160 nucleotides) under Nocardioidaceae bacterium. RNAcentral's name for it is "partial transfer-messenger RNA". It matches the Rfam family "transfer-messenger RNA", at positions 1 to 155 of the family's 374-position model. Rfam says of the family: Bacterial tmRNA, also known as 10Sa RNA or SsrA, is named for its dual tRNA and mRNA-like properties. Its role is to liberate the mRNA from a stalled ribosome. The record is from RNAcentral. Lineage: Bacteria; Bacillati; Actinomycetota; Actinomycetes; Propionibacteriales; Nocardioidaceae.